GCGAAGGCCAUGGUAGCAGCUGGGGUAAUCUGGAGUGUGCUAGUUUGAUUCGGAUUUUUUGGUGUUAGAGGUUCCGUAGGCGGAAUUGUAAGUAAGUAGUGAAAUCUCACAGCGUAGACUAGGAGCUGCCGUUGAUACCGCAUGUCUUGAGUAGAUGUGAAGUGGCUGGAAUAAGUAGUGUAGCGGUGAAAUGCAUAGAUAUUACUUAGAACUCCAAUUGCGAAGGCAGGUCACUAAGUUCUAACUGACGCUGAGGGACGAAAGCGUGGGGGGCGAACAGGAUUAGAUGCCCGUGUAGUC
RNAcentral lists this ribosomal RNA (300 nucleotides) under uncultured bacterium. Its description in RNAcentral is "bacterial SSU rRNA". It matches the Rfam family "Bacterial small subunit ribosomal RNA", at positions 496 to 795 of the family's 1533-position model. The record is from RNAcentral.